UCCCGUUGAUCCUGCGGGAGGCUGCUGCUAUUGGGGUUCGACUUAGCCAUGCAAGUCCGGGGGUAGCAAUACACCGGCAGAAUGCUCAGUAACACGUCGAUAAUCUGCCCUUAGGUCAGGGAUAAUCUCGGAAAACUGAGGCUAAUACCUGAUAUGGGAUUGAUUCUGGAAGGAACUUUCCCUGAAACUCGCGCCUAAGGAUGAGUCGGCGGUCGAUUAGGUUGUUGGCGGGGUAAUGGCCCACCAAGCCAAAGAUCGGUACGGGCCUUGAGAGAGGGAGCCCGGAGAAGGACACUGAGGUACUGGUCCUAGCCCUACGGGGUGCAGCAGGCGCGAAACCUUUACAAUGCACGAAAGUGUGAUAAGGGAACCCCAAGUGCUUAUGCUUUGCAUAGGCUUUUGCCAAGGGUAAACUCCUUGGCGAAUAAGUGGUGGGAAAGACUGGUGCCAGCCGCCGCGGUAACACCAGCGCCACGAGUAGGAGCCGCGUUUAUUGGGCCUAAAGCGUCCGUAGCCGAAUCUGUAAAUCUUCUGUGAAAUCACUGAGCUUAACUUAGUGAAUUGCAAGAGACACUGCAAAUUUAGGGACCGGUAGGAGUCAGAGGUAUGCUUGGGGGAGCGGUAAAAUGUGAUAAUCCCUUGCAGACCACCUGUGGCGAAGGCGUCUGACCAGGACGGAUCCGACGGUGAGGGACGAAAGCUAGGGGAGCGAUCCGGAUUAGAUACCCGAGUAGUCCUAGCUGUAAACGCUGUGGGCUAGGUGUUGCACAAUCUUCGGGAUUGUGCAGUGUCGAAGCGAAGGAGUUAAGCCCACCGCCUGGGAAGUAUGGUCGCAAGGCUGAAACUUAAAGGAAUUGGCGGGGGAGCACCACAAGGGGUGCGGCGUGCGGUUCAAUCUAACUCAACGCAGAGAAUCUCACCAGUAGCGACGGCAGAAUGAAAGUCAGUCUGAAGGGCUUACUAGACAAGCCGAGAGGUAGUGCAUGGCCGUCGUCAGCUCGUGCCGUGAGGUGUCCUGUUAAGUCAGGCAACGAGCGAGACCUGUAUCCACAAUUGCCAGCAUCUCAUUAGUGAGGAAUGGGCACAUUGUGGGGACUGCCCUGGAAACAGGGAGGAAGGUGCAGGCAACGGUAGGUCUGUAUGCUCCGAAUCUACUGGGCAACACGCGCGCAACAAUGGUAUGGACAAUGGGAUGCAACUCCGAAAGGAGACGCUAAACCUCUAAACCAUAUCUUAGUCCAGAUCGAGGGUUGUAACUCACCCUCGUGACGAUGGAAUCCCUGGUAAUCGGACUUCAACAUGGUCCGGUGAAUAAGUCCCUGCUCCUUGCACACACCGCCCGUCAAACCAACCGAGCAGGGUUUAGGUGAGUGUUCGUUUUUUUGACAACCACAAACCUAGGCUCAGUGAGGUGGGUUAAGUCGUCACAAGGUA
RNAcentral lists this ribosomal RNA (1434 nucleotides) under metagenome. RNAcentral's name for it is "bacterial SSU rRNA". It matches the Rfam family "Archaeal small subunit ribosomal RNA". The record is from RNAcentral.